GUCACCAGUUCUUUAUGGUGAAAAUUCCAAGGGACUGAGCUGAAAAGCCCUGUGGGCUGGAGGUCUUCUCCUUCUUCCCACGUUGGCACCAUUUUUCUAUUUUCCCACUGUGAAAUUGUGGCCUAGGUCUGAGAGUCCUGCAGGAACAUCCGCUGCAAAGAAAACAGUACUUAAACAAGACUAAUUACUUUAGUCAUUACCAACAGGGAUUUGGAUUUCUAGGUGGGAUUAGAUUUGACAAGCACUCUCACAUAUACUGAGAUAACAAGCCAGGAAUACAAAAAGUCAUGGCAGCUAUUGUUCAUUAUUGGAAACUGCAGGUUUGUACCAUUUAGAAAAAGUUAUUACUGGCUCCAAGAAGAUGGAGAAAUACCAGAUCUAUCACUGAAGACUGG
Molecule: long non-coding RNA, 395 nt
Filed under: Coturnix japonica (Japanese quail)
Lineage: Eukaryota; Metazoa; Chordata; Aves; Galliformes; Phasianidae
Description: lncRNA (ENSCJPG00005003522.1)
Source: RNAcentral